CAGCAAUGGCAAACGGAAAAGCAGCAAUUCAUUUCAAAAUAUGGCCAAUAUCUCAAAGCUGCCCCAAAAUGAUUCCCAUUUUUUUUGGCUUUUUUAUUUUUAUAUUUAUUUAAUUUGCAUCAUUUGAUUAUUCACUAUA
RNAcentral lists this non-coding RNA (139 nucleotides) under Foraminifera environmental sample. The record is from RNAcentral. Lineage: Eukaryota; Foraminifera.